Paramuricea clavata is the source of this 878-nucleotide non-coding RNA. The record is from the annotation of a GenBank genome assembly. NCBI's taxonomy places the organism in Eukaryota, Metazoa, Cnidaria, Anthozoa, Malacalcyonacea, Plexauridae.
CCCUUGUCAAAGAAUAUGGAUCGACAACUAAAACAAUGUGAAAUGUGAUUUUUUUAAAGUUGUAACUGUAAAUUAACCAUUACACAUGCACAUGCAACCUCAGACUUGGGAGAGGCAAUGUACCCCCAAAAUAGCAUGAGGUAGGCUAUAUCAACCGCGCGUGAGUAAAGCUAAUUAUAGCGCAUAUAGAGCAACAUAAAAACAGUUCGCAGAUAAAGUUUGUACUGAGUAUUCAGUCGUAAAUAUCUUUGUAAAUUAAACUCGUCAAUGAUAGUCUCUAAACAGGCAUUGGCGUUUCGGAGUGAAACAGUAAAAAUCUCAGCAUGAGUACAUGGAGUCUCAUUGAGACAUAAAUGUGAAAUGUAAAAGCGAUAAAGAUGGUUUUCUCUGAUGAUUCAGAAGAAGUUCAAAAGCCCUUGACAAUCAUCUUUCGAAAGUAAUAAAUUGGACGGGUAAAUUGCAUGUAACGAAAUUGCUAAGUUGUUAAGACAAAUUGUUAUCGAGUUCCACUACUUUACGUCCAUUGUCAUGUCUACCGGUAUAUGAUAGUUUUCAUUUCUUUACUUAAUAUCAAUAACAAUGUGGAAUCGGCGGUAGAAGACAGCAACAAAAUAACGUGGCACACAUCAGAGCCAAUAGCCCAGUUUCAGCUUCCUGUCUCCGCUGAUAUUCGUCGCUGUAAAUAUAGACAACAGGUCGGUUGGAAAAUCCUCCAGGUGGGUAAGGUUGUUCCACAUAGAACCCUUCUCGAACAUACACCGGAGGAGCUGCUGGAUAAUAAUAGGCCGUAUGCGGAUUGGAAGGAUGUGGCUGUUGAUUCAUUGCCCACAGAUAUAUAGAUACUUUAAUAAUGACUAGUUGAUUCCCCUUGUUCCACG